RNAcentral lists this ribosomal RNA (250 nucleotides) under uncultured bacterium. RNAcentral describes it as "partial 16S ribosomal RNA". It matches the Rfam family "Bacterial small subunit ribosomal RNA", at positions 524 to 773 of the family's 1533-position model. The record is from RNAcentral.
GACAGAGGGUGCUAGCGUUGUUCGGAAUGACUGGGCGUAAAGAGCGCGUAGGCGGUUAACCAAGUCAGAUGUGAAAGCCCCGGGCUUAACCUGGGAACUGCAUUUGAUACUGGUUGACUGGAGUACGAGAGAGGAAAGUGGAAUUCCUAGUGUAGAGGUGAAAUUCGUAGAUAUUAGGAGGAACACCAGAGGCGAAGGCGGCUUUCUGGCUCGUAACUGACGCUGAGGCGCGAAAGCGUGGGGAGCAAAC